AGGACGAACGCUGGCGGCGUGCUUAACACAUGCAAGUCGAACGAUGAACUCACCUUCGGGUGGGGGAUUAGUGGCGAACGGGUGAGUAACACGUGGGCAACCUGCCCCUGACUCUGGGAUAACUCCGGGAAACCGGAGCUAAUACCGGAUAUGAACACGAAGGACAUCCUUUGUGUUGGAAAGUUUUUCGGUCAGGGAUGGGCCCGCGGCCUAUCAGCUAGUUGGCGGGGUAAUGGCCCACCAAGGCGAAGACGGGUAGCUGGUCUGAGAGGAUGAUCAGCCACACUGGGACUGAGACACGGCCCAGACUCCUACGGGAGGCAGCAGUGGGGAAUAUUGGACAAUGGGCGAAAGCCUGAUCCAGCCAUGCCGCGUGAGUGAUGAAGGCCUUCGGGUCGUAAAGCUCUGUGGGGAGGGACGAAAAGCAGGACGCUAAUACCGGCCUGAAUUGACGGUACCUCCUUAGCAAGCACCGGCUAACUCCGUGCCAGCAGCCGC
RNAcentral lists this ribosomal RNA (498 nucleotides) under uncultured bacterium. RNAcentral's name for it is "SSU rRNA". It matches the Rfam family "Bacterial small subunit ribosomal RNA", at positions 26 to 518 of the family's 1533-position model. The record is from RNAcentral.